GCCUGGGUAGCUCAGUUGGUAGAGCACUUGCCUCCGAAAGGCAAAGGUCCCGAGUUCGAGUCUCGGUCCGGCACA
RNAcentral lists this transfer RNA (75 nucleotides) under Schistocerca americana (American grasshopper). Its description in RNAcentral is "tRNA-Ser". It matches the Rfam family "tRNA". Rfam says of the family: Transfer RNA (tRNA) molecules are approximately 80 nucleotides in length. Their secondary structure includes four short double-helical elements and three loops (D, anti-codon, and T loops). Further hydrogen bonds mediate the characteristic L-shaped molecular structure. tRNAs have two regions of fundamental functional importance: the anti-codon, which is responsible for specific mRNA codon recognition, and the 3' end, to which the tRNAs corresponding amino acid is attached (by aminoacyl-tRNA synthetases). tRNAs cope with the degeneracy of the genetic code in two manners: having more than one tRNA (with a specific anti-codon) for a particular amino acid; and 'wobble' base-pairing, i.e. permitting non-standard base-pairing at the 3rd anti-codon position. Lineage: Eukaryota; Metazoa; Arthropoda; Insecta; Orthoptera; Acrididae. The record is from RNAcentral.